This 483-nucleotide ribosomal RNA is filed under the name uncultured bacterium. RNAcentral's name for it is "partial 16S ribosomal RNA". It matches the Rfam family "Bacterial small subunit ribosomal RNA", at positions 28 to 507 of the family's 1533-position model. The record is from RNAcentral.
GACGAACGCUGGCGGCGUGCUUAACACAUGCAAGUCGAACGAUGAAGCGGGUGCUUGCACUCGUGGAUUAGUGGCGAACGGGCGAGUAACACGUGAGUAACCUGUCCUUUUCUUUGGGAUAACGGCUGGAAACGGCUGCUAAUACUGGAUAUUCAGGCUGCAUCGCAUGGUGUGGUUUGGAAAGGUUUUUUCUGGGAUUGGGUGGGCUCGCGGCCUAUCAGCUUGUUGGUGGGGUGAUGGCUUACCAAGGCUUUGACGGGUAGCCGGCCUGAGAGGGUGGUCGGUCGCACUGGGACUGAGAUACGGCCCAGACUACGACGGGAGGCAGCAGUGGGGAGUAUUGCACAAUGGACGAAAGGUUGAUGCAGCGACGCAGCGUGGAGGGUGUAGGCCUUCGGGUUGUGAACUCCUUUUUCUCGCGAAAAAGGCACAGUUUUGGCUGUGUUGAUGGUAGUGGGCGAAGAAGCGCCGGCUAACUACGUG